RNAcentral lists this ribosomal RNA (253 nucleotides) under uncultured bacterium. Its description in RNAcentral is "partial 16S ribosomal RNA". It matches the Rfam family "Bacterial small subunit ribosomal RNA", at positions 524 to 776 of the family's 1533-position model. The record is from RNAcentral.
UACGGAGGGGGCUAGCGUUGUUCGGAAUUACUGGGCGUAAAGCGCACGUAGGCGGCUUUCUAAGUCAGGGGUGAAAUCCUGGAGCUCAACUCCAGAACUGCCUUUGAUACUGGAGAGCUUGAGUCCGGAAGAGGUGAGUGGAACUCCGAGUGUAGAGGUGAAAUUCGUAGAUAUUCGGAAGAACACCAGUGGCGAAGGCGGCUCACUGGUCCGGUACUGACGCUGAGGUGCGAAAGCGUGGGGAGCAAACAGG